CACCUGUCAGGGUUGCACCUAGAGAGUUUCCAGUCCUCUACCUGUCUCGACUAUGGGAGGGAGAGUCAGGCAGAGGCCUAUCCAUUCCAUUCCUAGCUUGGGCAGUGGCUAGCGAGUGGAAGGCAAUCUGCUACAAGU
This 138-nucleotide small nucleolar RNA is filed under the name Ornithorhynchus anatinus (platypus). Lineage: Eukaryota; Metazoa; Chordata; Mammalia; Monotremata; Ornithorhynchidae. The record is from RNAcentral.